GGUGAACGCUGGCGGCGUGCCUAACACAUGCAAGUCGAGCGGUGCAGUUUGAAGCUUCGGUGGAAAGCUGCAUAGCGGCGGACGGGUGAGGAAAACGUAGGAACGUGCCCCUUGGAGUUGGAUAGCCACGGGAAACUGUGGGUAAACCGACAUAGACUCGAGAGAGUAAAGGCCGAAAGGCGCCAAGGGAGCGGCCUGCGGCCCAUCAGGUAGUUGGUAGUGUAAAGGACUACCAAGCCGACGACGGGUAGCCGGUCUGAGAGGAUGGCCGGCCACAAGGGCACUGAGAGACGGGCCCUACUCCUACGGGAGGCAGCAGUGGGGAAUAUUGCACAAUGGACGAAAGUCUGAUGCAGCGACGCCGCGUGAGGGAUGAAGGCCUUCGGGUUGUAAACCUUUUUCGCUUUUGACCAAGGCAUCAUUUUGUUGGUGUUGAGGGUAUGAGGUAAAGAAGCUCCGGCUAACUACGUG
Molecule: ribosomal RNA, 471 nt
Filed under: uncultured bacterium
Lineage: Bacteria
Description: bacterial SSU rRNA
Rfam family: Bacterial small subunit ribosomal RNA
Source: RNAcentral